CUACGGGGCGCUGCAGUGAGGAAUAUUGCACAAUGGGGGGAACCCUGAUGCAGCAACGCCGCGUGGAGGAUGACGCAUUUCGGUGUGUAAACUCCUUUUAUAUGUCAAGAAAAUGACGGUAGCCUAUGAAUAAGCACCGGCUAACUCCGUGCCAGACAGCCGCGGUAAUACGGAGGGUGCAAGCGUUACUCGGAAUCACUGGGCGUAAAGGACGCGUAGGCGGGUUGGAAAGUCAGGUGUGAAAUCCUACAGCUUAACUGUAGAACUGCACUUGAAACUUCUAAUCUAGAGUAUGGGAGGGGGAGAUGGAAUUAGUGGUGUAGGGGUAAAAUCCGUAGAUAUCACUAGGAAUACCUAAAGCGAAGGCGAUCUCCUGGAACAUUACUGACGCUAAGGCGUGAAAGCGUGGGGAGCAAACAGGAUUAGAUACCCGCGUAGUC
This 440-nucleotide ribosomal RNA is filed under the name uncultured bacterium. RNAcentral's name for it is "partial 16S ribosomal RNA". It matches the Rfam family "Bacterial small subunit ribosomal RNA", at positions 339 to 795 of the family's 1533-position model. The record is from RNAcentral.